UAAGACGCAAUAUCGCAAGAUGGAGCAAAUCUAUAAAAUAUGUCCCAGUUCGGAUUGGGGUCUGCAACUCGACCCCAUGAAGCCGGAAUCGCUAGUAAUCGUAGAUCAGCCAUGCUACGGUGAAUACGUUCCCGGGUCUUGUACUCACCGCCCGUCACACCAUGGAAGUUGAUCUCACUCGAAGCAGGGAUGCUAAAAUAGCUACCUUCCACAGUGGAAUCAGUAACUGGGGUGAAGUCGUAACAAGGUAACCGUAGGAGAACCUGCGGUUGGAUCACCUCCUUU
This 285-nucleotide ribosomal RNA is filed under the name Campylobacter ureolyticus. RNAcentral's name for it is "partial 16S ribosomal RNA". It matches the Rfam family "Bacterial small subunit ribosomal RNA", at positions 1243 to 1533 of the family's 1533-position model. The record is from RNAcentral. Lineage: Bacteria; Pseudomonadati; Campylobacterota; Epsilonproteobacteria; Campylobacterales; Campylobacteraceae.